Bubalus bubalis (water buffalo) is the source of this 1268-nucleotide RNA transcript. RefSeq lists it as uncharacterized. NCBI's taxonomy places the organism in Eukaryota, Metazoa, Chordata, Mammalia, Artiodactyla, Bovidae. The transcript has 4 exons. The record is from RefSeq and is a predicted model, not a curated record.
UUGAACUCUGGCCUUCAGGUCCCAUUAUCCAUGGUACGUGGGAUAUUACGUUUCUGGACAUGUUAUGUAACCUGGAGAUGGACAGGUGGGCUGGGACAGAUGAGCAGCGUGGGUCUGUCCUUGGGAGCUGAGCCUGGAGACUCAUGUGCUCAAAAUUACCGAGAGAUGGCCGGAGGGUUAUUUCAUUUUGCUUCUCCCAUCUGAUGGACUGUGCACAAGAAAACCCUUUCAGAGAGAAGAGAGUCCACUGAUGAGAGGAAACGGAUGGUGCUUUGGGGAGGGAUCAAGAAUUCAAAAUGAAAGCAAAUAGGCAGAUUUGUAGUCAUCUCUCCUCGGGAACGUCUAUGAAGCAAUGUUUAUAUUCUUGACACUUGGCUUAAAUAUUGGCAGGUGUUGGCUUCUGUGGGAUGAUAGGUGUUUUGGAAGCAGGUUCAGACAAGCUUUGCCCACACAUCCCGGGGGCUGGACUGCUUUGACAGCCUGUAUCCUGCAGACUCACGGCAACAGCCGCUCUGUCCUGACUGUGUGGUGGGAAGGACAGAAUAACGCCUUUGAAAAGAUCACUGGUGCGCCCUCCUUGUGGGGAGGCCUGGCUUCCACCUCAGAGGAGUGGGAACACCUUGCUGGCACCCUUGACGGAAGAAGGAUUUAGGACUGAAGGUUAUGAAGACAUCACGCUAGAAGUCUCCAGAUGGUCAGGAGUACAUGCACCAUCUGCUCCUCCUGGAACACCGUGCCGAGGAGCAGUUCCUGGAGCACUGACUGAACCCACACUGCAAGCCCCACUGCGACAGGAACCUGGUCCAUCCCAUCUAAGUGGCUCGGGACCAGCCUCUGCAGACACUUUGAUGAGCAAAGGCCCGGAUACUAUUGAAACAAGAUGAGGCUCCUUUCAUUUCUUUUCCAGUUGUGGAGUGGAGAUCUCCAGGGCUUGGGAACUGUGGGCACAGCAAGAUUGUGUUGGGGACUAACAGCAAAUAUUUAUGCUGCUUCACUUUACUAACCUGAACAACUCAUUAAAACCAAUCACUUAAACUAUAGCUCCUCCCUCCUCCCCUUUAACGGUCCCUUCCUACCAGUUUGAAGGGUAAGUAGAAGGAGAAUCUUUUCUGGGGCUGGUGGACCUGGGGUCUCCAGAACAGGAGAGGGGUUAGUGGGAAGGCCUUGUUCAGCCCAGUGAAACACACCACUCAGGCUGCGGGGGUUUUGGUCAUCGCUUUUUUGUCCUCUCUCGUUUUCUGCUCCAAUAAAUACUGGUGUUAAACCUA